GAUCCCAUUGAAAUUCCACAAUUCUGCUGUCUGAUAUUGUGUUUGUUAAAACAUGGUUCAAUGUGGAGGUUCCCAAGUUCUAUGCCGCGGUAACAAAUCUUCUUCUGCCAAUGGAGAAGCGCUCCACUUGGAAGGGAAUGCGUACAGUGGGUGAGAUAAAACGAGAUUAAAUAUUAAGGCUGAAGUGAAUCCUGAUCAUCUUUAUACAACUAUUCAGAGGGAAGAGAAGGUAGACAUUUUUAUAUUCAUUCUUAGUUC
Long non-coding RNA from Eurytemora carolleeae, 258 nucleotides. RefSeq lists it as uncharacterized. The transcript is spliced from 3 exons. The record is from RefSeq and is a predicted model, not a curated record. NCBI's taxonomy places the organism in Eukaryota, Metazoa, Arthropoda, Copepoda, Calanoida, Temoridae.